UUCUAAAAAGGGAAUUAAGUUUCUGUGCAAAUCUCUAAGGCUAAGAAACUAAGCCACAAGACUUUUGCCUCUCCUUUUUACCCUAAUGCUACACAGGAAUUGUAGUUACAUAAACCUAACACCAGCCUACAAGGUUAUUCCAAUACAGGUAGUCCUUACUUAGCUACUGCCUCAUUUAGUGACCAUUCAAAGAUAUGAUGGUGCUAAAAAACUUAGCAACCAGUCGUCACAUUUAUGACCUUUGCAGUGUGUUUCUGCUUUUAUUUUCACUUGCUUAUUUACCCCAUACCAAUAUGUCCUCAACAAGAAAGAGAAAGAAUCCCAGCUCAGCUGAAGGAAGUAGCAAGAAGCAAAGGAAAACUGAAGUAAAAUUAUGUAGGAUUUGAAAUAAAGAAACCCAGCCAGGAAAAAAAAGUACAACAUGAAAGCAUAUUGACAUCCUUUGUAGAAUAUCUGAUAAGUUGCAUUUCACUGCUGCUAUCUUCAGAGACCUUUUGAUGUUUCGGGAUCUUCAAAAAUAUAUUAUCUGUUCAACCCUCUUCCAAAGGGCUUAUCUCUAAUAGACUUCUGCAGGAGGGUGAAAAUGUUUCGAUUGUAAAGAUCUGUUUUACUGAACAGAUUUAAGCUUUUUAAUCAUUUUGAUUGAUCCUAUAGUGUUAAUUCCUGCACUUCUUGGG
Long non-coding RNA from Candoia aspera, 677 nucleotides. RefSeq lists it as uncharacterized. NCBI's taxonomy places the organism in Eukaryota, Metazoa, Chordata, Lepidosauria, Squamata, Candoiidae. The record is from RefSeq and is a predicted model, not a curated record. The transcript has 2 exons.